This 484-nucleotide ribosomal RNA is filed under the name uncultured bacterium. Its description in RNAcentral is "partial 16S ribosomal RNA". It matches the Rfam family "Bacterial small subunit ribosomal RNA", at positions 28 to 507 of the family's 1533-position model. The record is from RNAcentral.
AUUGAACGCUGGCGGCAUGCUUUACACAUGCAAGUCGAACGGCAGCGCGGGCUUCGGCCUGGCGGCGAGUGGCCAACGGGUGGGUAAUGCAUCGGAACGUGCCCAGCUGUUGGGGCUAGCCCGGCGAAAGCCGGAUUAAUACCGCAUUACACCUGACGGUGAACGCGGGGGACCGAAAGGCCUCCCGCCAUUGGAGCGGCCGAUGUCGGAUUAGCUAGUUGGUGGGGUAAAGGCUUACCAAGGCGACGAUCCGUAGCUGGUCUGAGAGGACGACCAGCCACACUGGAACUGAGACACGGCCCAGACUCCUACGGGAGGCAGCAGUGGGGAAUUUUGGACAAUGGGGGCAACCCUGAUCCAGCCAUGCCGCGUGCGUGAAGAAGGCCUUCGGGUUGUAAACCGCUUUUGUUCGGGAAGAAAAGCUCUGGGCUAAUACCCCGGGGGGAUGACGGUACCGGAAGAAUAAGCACCGGCUAACUACGUG